UCCCCCCCACUAAGAAAAGAUAUGUCCCCCAGAUCUGAUGACAGGGGUUGGAGACGGUUAUGGGUAUGUAGACUGGGGUGUAUACUCUCUCCUUAAAUAUUUGCAAUUGAGAGUGUCGGCUAUUUUUCUUUUGAAUUUCAAGCUUUUUAUUAAACAAAAAUUUUUUUAAAGUAUACUAAGAUACAUUUUAGUGCAGUCACAGUGUAGGCGUAUUCCUCAACGGUUCAAAACUUCAACAAAUUUAGUUAAAGGUUUACACAGCGAUGAAAAAGAUUUAAGUGACAAUGCAUGAGUUGCUAUAUGAAAGUCUUUGCAGCAGAGAAGAGGAGCAAAAGUUCCUGAGAAGAUCAAUAAGGCUUAAUGAAACCAACCCAGUAAAUGCCUGUUUGAACUGAAAGCCCUGCGUCCGGGAAGCAGCAGAGGAAAGCAAGCAAAAAGUGAGGAAGCAGAGAAGGCGAAAUUAAUGGAACAAACAAUGUGAAAAAGAUGUUUUCAUUAAUAUUUCUCUCAUUAUUUUUUCUUUCGACUUUCUACCCUCUAAGCUUUCUUCCCCUUUUUCCCUGCUCCUCCCUCCUAAUCCUAUUUUCAUUAAAAUAUACCCCAAUCAUCCUUUUAAACAUUAACCCCCCUCCUCUCCUCUUAAUUAACCUCAUUAUUAACCCCCCACCCCUUGUCCUCAUCAUCAUUAUUCAAUUUCCACCCCUCUUCUCCCCAUCACCCUCAUUAUACCCACAUCAUUAACCCACCUCCCUCCCUCCUUCUAAUCAUCCUUAUUAUUACCCCCCCCCCUCCUCCUCUUCCUCAUUA
Eurytemora carolleeae is the source of this 807-nucleotide long non-coding RNA. RefSeq lists it as uncharacterized. Lineage: Eukaryota; Metazoa; Arthropoda; Copepoda; Calanoida; Temoridae. The record is from RefSeq and is a predicted model, not a curated record. The transcript has 3 exons.